AAAUAGAUGUGAUGGUGGAAAACUUUGUACAGUCUAGCCCAUUGAUGCAGUUUCCAGAGACCUUUCUACUCUGCGGGUUUUGUUUCUGGGGAGUUCCCCUCUUUCAUCCACGAAGGCUGCCUCCACUGCCACCGUGUACAGUCCGGGCGUGUUCACGCUGACCAACUGCUGCGCGGAGAAGAAAUCACGUACAGGAGUAACGGUCUGCACGGCGGUCAGUACAGGCGGGAUGUUCGUCAGCUCGACGGUCUGGAACGAUCGCUGCUUUUAAUUAUUAGUAAUGUGGUUUGA
Molecule: long non-coding RNA, 291 nt
Organism: Melitaea cinxia (Glanville fritillary)
Lineage: Eukaryota; Metazoa; Arthropoda; Insecta; Lepidoptera; Nymphalidae
Exons: 2
Source: RefSeq, a predicted model, not a curated record